CCAAUAGCGUAUAUUAAAGUUGUUGCAGUUAAAAAGCUCGUAGUUGAAUUUCGGGGUCAGUAGGUUGGUCGUGCCACCGGUACGUACUGGUCUCACUGAUUCCUCCUUCCUGAUGAACUGUAAUGCCAUUAAUUUGGUGUUGCGGGGAAUCUGGACUGUUACUUUGAAAAAAUUAGAGUGUUUAAAGCAGGCUAACGCUUGAAUACAUUAGCAUGGAAUAAUGAAAUAGGACGUUCGAUCCUAUUUUGUUGGUUUCUAGGAUUGACGUAAUGAUUAAUAGGGAUAGUUGGGGGCAUUAGUAUUCAAUUGUCAGAGGUGAAAUUCUUGGAUUUAUUGAAGACUAACUACUGCGAAAGCAUUUGCCAAGGAUGUUUUCAUUAAUCAAGAACGAAAGUUAGGGGAUCGAAGACGAUCAGAUACCGUCGUAGUCUUAACCAUAAACUAUGCCGACUAGGGAUCGGAUGAUGUUAAUUUUUUAAUGACUCAUUCGGCGCCUUACG
RNAcentral lists this ribosomal RNA (500 nucleotides) under uncultured Glomeromycotina. RNAcentral describes it as "partial small subunit ribosomal RNA". It matches the Rfam family "Eukaryotic small subunit ribosomal RNA", at positions 591 to 1092 of the family's 1831-position model. The record is from RNAcentral. Lineage: Eukaryota; Fungi; Glomeromycota.